GCUUGUAAGGCUCUCAUCCCAUGGUGUCUUAAGGGUGCCUCCUAGCUCCUAAUGGGGCCCAGGCACGUUAGUGACAACCACACAGAGCUGGUGGAAGGCUAGGAGGUCUCAAGGCAUCCAAUGUGGAACUUGCAGUAUUGGUUUGUCAAGAGAUGAAACUACACCAGUUCAUUUAAGAGAGAACGUUUAUUAUGAAUAAUUAUUUACUAGGUAUAAAAGAACUGAAAAGGAAAAAGGGUAUAAACACGGAGGGAGGACUUAUCACUCUUCAGUCUUGGGGGCAAGAGAAGGGAGACAAAAACUGAAAAGAGAAGGAUGAUUAAAAUUGAGAAGCUUAGAGGAAGGGGCACUGCUCAACUGGUGCUGGUGUCUCUGAGCUCGGAGGCGCUGCCCCAUGGACCCAGGACCCACAUCUCUGAGAAGGGUGUGCCGCUGGCCGGUGCUGGUGUCUCUGAGGCAGCGUGACGAGGCUGGUUCUCCAAGUGCUGGAAGCGCUGCAAACUGGAUUCAGCUGCAGCUAUUGCAGGUUCCACUUCUUCCUCCACCAUCUGCUAGGAGUGCGAAGUAGGGGUUGUCUGAAGAGAUUUGAGUCCUGGGCUGAAAGGGGCUGAGGAUCUGGGCUGAGCUGGAGAAGCCGGAGAAGGUAUAAAACUACUCAUCUCCCUCUGAGCCAUCACAGCUGAUUGUAUGAAGCUUGGCCAGGACUCAAGGAAAACCAAUCUAUAGAUGUGACAGCAGCCUAUGAGGUGACUUUACCUUGCUUUACCUGAUCAGACUGAUGGCGACUAAACUGGAUCUUUUACUCUCUACUGCGUAGUUAGUUGAUAGGAUUAGAAGAGCAUGAGGACAAAGCCUUACACAUGAUUGUGACCUCCAUCGUGCCUGGAGUAGGGAUGACACAUGGGAGCUAUUCACCGAAUGUUUACUGAAUCAGUGAAUGAAAAGAUGGAAGGGCAAGAAAAGGAGGGAGCAGUAGAGGGAAAGAUUUUAAUUAAAUGCAUAUGGGAAUUUCUUUCUAGCUAUUCUUUAUUCCACUAAGCACAUGGAUGCAUGAAUUCAUUUAACAAACCUUUUCUGGGG
RNAcentral lists this long non-coding RNA (1080 nucleotides) under Equus asinus (donkey). RNAcentral's name for it is "lncRNA (ENSEASG00005029246.1)". Lineage: Eukaryota; Metazoa; Chordata; Mammalia; Perissodactyla; Equidae. The record is from RNAcentral.